AAUCCAUGCAUCAGACAUUUUCGAAUUAAUUCUUUAAAUCGUUCCCAAGCUUCAUAUAGUAUUUCAUCCUCCAAUUAUCAAAAAGACGUGAUGUCAUUUCUCAGCUU
Molecule: small nucleolar RNA, 107 nt
Organism: Gossypium raimondii (Peruvian cotton)
Lineage: Eukaryota; Viridiplantae; Streptophyta; Magnoliopsida; Malvales; Malvaceae
Rfam family: Plant small nucleolar RNA R71
About the family: R71 is a member of the C/D box family of snoRNAs containing the C (UGAUGA) and D (CUGA) box motifs. Multiple nearly identical copies of this snoRNA have been identified in Arabidopsis, and it is thought to function as a 2'-O-ribose methylation guide for 18S ribosomal RNA.
Source: Rfam